Molecule: ribosomal RNA, 2240 nt
Filed under: Salmonella enterica
Lineage: Bacteria; Pseudomonadati; Pseudomonadota; Gammaproteobacteria; Enterobacterales; Enterobacteriaceae
Description: partial 23S ribosomal RNA
Rfam family: Bacterial large subunit ribosomal RNA
Source: RNAcentral
AGACCCGAAACCCGGUGAUCUAGCCAUGGGCAGGUUGAAGGUUGGGUAACACUAACUGGAGGACCGAACCGACUAAUGUUGAAAAAUUAGCGGAUGACCUGUGGCUGGGGGUGAAAGGCCAAUCAAACCGGGAGAUAGCUGGUUCUCCCCGAAAGCUAUUUAGGUAGCGCCUCGUGAAUUCAUCUCCGGGGGUAGAGCACUGUUUCGGCUAGGGGGCCAUCCCGGCUUACCAACCCGAUGCAAACUGCGAAUACCGGAGAAUGUUAUCACGGGAGACACACGGCGGGUGCUAACGUCCGUCGUGAAGAGGGAAACAACCCAGACCGCCAGCUAAGGUCCCAAAGUCAUGGUUAAGUGGGAAACGAUGUGGGAAGGCCCAGACAGCCAGGAUGUUGGCUUAGAAGCAGCCAUCAUUUAAAGAAAGCGUAAUAGCUCACUGGUCGAGUCGGCCUGCGCGGAAGAUGUAACGGGGCUAAACCAUGCACCGAAGCUGCGGCAGCGACACUGUGUGUUGUUGGGUAGGGGAGCGUUCUGUAAGCCUGUGAAGGUGGCCUGUGAGGGUUGCUGGAGGUAUCAGAAGUGCGAAUGCUGACAUAAGUAACGAUAAAGCGGGUGAAAAGCCCGCUCGCCGGAAGACCAAGGGUUCCUGUCCAACGUUAAUCGGGGCAGGGUGAGUCGACCCCUAAGGCGAGGCCGAAAGGCGUAGUCGAUGGGAAACGGGUUAAUAUUCCCGUACUUGGUGUUACUGCGAAGGGGGGACGGAGAAGGCUAUGUUGGCCGGGCGACGGUUGUCCCGGUUUAAGCGUGUAGGUGUGUGUUCCAGGUAAAUCCGGUUCACUUUAACACUGAGGCGUGACGACGAGGCACUACGGUGCUGAAGCAACAAAUGCCCUGCUUCCAGGAAAAGCCUCUAAGCAUCAGGUAACAUCAAAUCGUACCCCAAACCGACACAGGUGGUCAGGUAGAGAAUACCAAGGCGCUUGAGAGAACUCGGGUGAAGGAACUAGGCAAAAUGGUGCCGUAACUUCGGGAGAAGGCACGCUGACACGUAGGUGAAGUGAUUUACUCACGGAGCUGAAGUCAGUCGAAGAUACCAGCUGGCUGCAACUGUUUAUUAAAAACACAGCACUGUGCAAACACGAAAGUGGACGUAUACGGUGUGACGCCUGCCCGGUGCCGGAAGGUUAAUUGAUGGGGUCAGCGCAAGCGAAGCUCCUGAUCGAAGCCCCGGUAAACGGCGGCCGUAACUAUAACGGUCCUAAGGUAGCGAAAUUCCUUGUCGGGUAAGUUCCGACCUGCACGAAUGGCGUAAUGAUGGCCAGGCUGUCUCCACCCGAGACUCAGUGAAAUUGAACUCGCUGUGAAGAUGCAGUGUACCCGCGGCAAGACGGAAAGACCCCGUGAACCUUUACUAUAGCUUGACACUGAACAUUGAGCCUUGAUGUGUAGGAUAGGUGGGAGGCUUUGAAGUGUGGACGCCAGUCUGCAUGGAGCCGACCUUGAAAUACCACCCUUUAAUGUUUGAUGUUCUAACGUGGACCCGUGAUCCGGGUUGCGGACAGUGUCUGGUGGGUAGUUUGACUGGGGCGGUCUCCUCCUAAAGAGUAACGGAGGAGCACGAAGGUUGGCUAAUCCUGGUCGGACAUCAGGAGGUUAGUGCAAUGGCAUAAGCCAGCUUGACUGCGAGCGUGACGGCGCGAGCAGGUGCGAAAGCAGGUCAUAGUGAUCCGGUGGUUCUGAAUGGAAGGGCCAUCGCUCAACGGAUAAAAGGUACUCCGGGGAUAACAGGCUGAUACCGCCCAAGAGUUCAUAUCGACGGCGGUGUUUGGCACCUCGAUGUCGGCUCAUCACAUCCUGGGGCUGAAGUAGGUCCCAAGGGUAUGGCUGUUCGCCAUUUAAAGUGGUACGCGAGCUGGGUUUAGAACGUCGUGAGACAGUUCGGUCCCUAUCUGCCGUGGGCGCUGGAGAACUGAGGGGGGCUGCUCCUAGUACGAGAGGACCGGAGUGGACGCAUCACUGGUGUUCGGGUUGUCAUGCCAAUGGCACUGCCCGGUAGCUAAAUGCGGAAGAGAUAAGUGCUGAAAGCAUCUAAGCACGAAACUUGCCCCGAGAUGAGUUCUCCCUGAGACUUAGAGUCUCCUGAAGGAACGUUGAAGACGACGACGUUGAUAGGCCGGGUGUGUAAGCGCAGCGAUGCGUUGAGCUAACCGGUACUAAUGAACCGUGAGGCUUAACCUUAC